Long non-coding RNA from Nerophis lumbriciformis (worm pipefish), 367 nucleotides. RefSeq lists it as uncharacterized. The record is from RefSeq and is a predicted model, not a curated record. NCBI's taxonomy places the organism in Eukaryota, Metazoa, Chordata, Actinopteri, Syngnathiformes, Syngnathidae.
CAGACACCAACUGUUGAUUUUCCAUCUCAACAUUCUCCAGAUUCAGAUAUUCACAGCAGGACAAAGCGCUGGAAGUGGGUAUGUCUCAAGCUUCUUCAACGUGCUCCACUCCAAAGCGAGCUGCAAAGGUGAAGAAGUGGAAGCAGUUGAAUGACACAUGUUGCAUUUUAUAAAUGGCAACAAAGUACCAGGUAAAAAAGAUUGUAAAGCCUGCCUCUAUAAAUAACUAGUAGCUCUACAGAACAGAGAUUGGCUUGCCAUCAAGUACUAUGUCCAUAACAGAAUCAUAUCAAAAAAAGGAAAAACAUUUGUUUUUCCACAUCUUCUGUGGUAGUUUGAGUAUGUUACCAGCAAUUAAAAAAGCAAG